AUUUCAAAGGAUGAUACAGUUAUUCUUGAUGGUGCCGGUGACAAGAAAGCUAUUGAGGAAAGGUGUGAACAGAUAAGGGCUGGUAUUGAAGCAAGCACUUCAGAUUAUGACAAGGAGAAGUUACAGGAGAGAUUAGCGAAACUCUCUGGGGGUGUUGCUGUUUUAAAGAUUGGAGGAGCAAGUGAGGCAGAAGUGGGCGAGAAGAAGGAUAGAGUCACCGAUGCCUUGAAUGCCACAAAAGCAGCUGUUGAAGAAGGAAUAGUACCAGGUGGUGGUGUUGCCCUCCUCUAUGCAUCCAAGGAGCUUGACAAACUGCAGACUGCCAACUUUGAUCAGAAGGU
Molecule: unclassified non-coding RNA, 341 nt
Filed under: Hevea brasiliensis (rubber tree)
Lineage: Eukaryota; Viridiplantae; Streptophyta; Magnoliopsida; Malpighiales; Euphorbiaceae
Source: RNAcentral